AGUUAGUGGCGCACGGGUGAGUAAUGUAUAGUUAAUCUGCCCUACACUGGAGGACAACAGUUAGAAAUGACUGCUAAUACUCCAUACUCCUUCUUAACAUAAGUUAAAGUCGGGAAAGUUUUUCGGUGUAGGAUGAGACUAUAUUGUAUCAGCUAGUUGGUAAGGUAAUGGCUUACCAAGGCUAUGACGCAUAACUGGUCUGAGAGGAUGAUCAGUCACACUGGAACUGAGACACGGUCCAGACUCCUACGGGAGGCAGCAGUAGGGAAUAUUGCUCAAUGGGGGAAACCCUGAAGCAGCAACGCCGCGUGGAGGAUGACACUUUUCGGAGCGUAAACUCCUUUUGUUAGGGAAGAACACUGACGGUACCUAACGAAUAAGCACCGGCUAACUCCGUGCC
Molecule: ribosomal RNA, 400 nt
Filed under: uncultured bacterium
Lineage: Bacteria
Description: bacterial SSU rRNA
Rfam family: Bacterial small subunit ribosomal RNA
Source: RNAcentral